This 3325-nucleotide long non-coding RNA is filed under the name Aquilegia coerulea. Its description in RNAcentral is "long non-coding RNA (ACOE_LNC002022)". The record is from RNAcentral. Lineage: Eukaryota; Viridiplantae; Streptophyta; Magnoliopsida; Ranunculales; Ranunculaceae.
AUCAAAUAAUGCCUUAAAUCUUCAAUUUGUCCAUCUAUGUUAAAGACCAUUGCUAUAGUUACGAAGAUAGAAAUGACCACCCUAUCAGCCUACUGAUGCUGAAAACUAACAAUCCACUUGUUUGGUAUCCUUCCACUGCCUUUACAGUCACACUUGAUGUCACAAUACUCCAUCUGAAAUUAUUAAAAGUGAUCAUAAUGAACAAGAAUAUAUUUUUGGUUCUAUAAAAUAUACGAGUUGAUAGGAUGUGUUUGAUUCGCAUGCAUUUGAUUCCCGGGAAAAUGAAUAGAAAUGGCUAAGUUUUAAAAGAUUUUGAGUAGGAGAUCGGAAUUCAGAUUCCGGGCAUAGCUAUUUUAUUUGAAUACGAUUUUCAUUUAAAAAAAAAAAAAAAAAAAAAAAAAACCAUUUUAUAUAAUUAAUAGGACAAAGCAGACAAGUGUUUCACUUUAGUAAGAAUUUCGUCAAUCUCUGUCUCUAUUUCUCUCCCUUUUCUGCCCACUCUCUCUCCCUCUCCCAUCAUUCAAUGUUACAUUAGUACCCUUCAUUUCUUUGGAAUUUAAAUUCCAUGAACCAAAGACAGCGAUGAUUAUAGUUCUAAACAUGAUGUUAUUAAAAGUGACUUAAAACCAAACGGGAUAUGACAAGAUUUGGAUAAAAUUUCUAUCAUUUACGGGAACAAAACUACUAAAAAAUUCCCAAGAAAACCAUGAAUCCAAAAAGUCUGUUAACAAUCAACACAAACAUAAACAACAAUAAAAGCUUCAAUCCAACGUUCGGAUACAAAGCAAUAAAGUACAUCCACAAAUACAUAUAUCAGAAAAAAUAAAAGCUUAGAAAAUACUUCGACAACCAAAAUAAACAAUAUUGGUAUGGAACAUAUGGAAGUUCAAACAAAAACUGGAAACAAACAUACUUGAAGCAACAAUAGAUGUAAUGGAACAAUGACAAAAAUAUAUAUUUUUAAUACUUGAUUUUUAGAUUUAUUUAUCUUACUCUCAUAGUCCAAGUUCCUAAGAUUUAAGUUUAGUCUUGCUAUCUAUUAUUUACCACUUUCUGAGAAUCAAAAGCUAUUUAUCUGGUCGAAACUAACGUGGCGUAGCCAUGGGUACAACUAGUAUCUUUAUAAAACACACACCUCUAUAUAGUACGCUGGUCCCAUAAGCCUUGGUGAUGCCAUUAGAUUCAUGGAGGCGGCCACAUGGCUGACAGUGAGAAUGAUCUGAUCAGUACGUGCAAUAGCAUAUUAGGUCUACGCAAAUAAAACAAAAAGACAGAAUUUCUCACAGUAACAUACCCACAUAUAACAACUAGGAAGUAUGAAUCCACCACAAAUCAAUAACUGAAAACAUAUCCAAAAAUGCCAACAGUUAAAGACACAUACUGUUGCCAACAGUUAAAGCCCAAGGAAUAUCGCAGAAAAAGUGAAAAAACCAAAGUACUUAAUUAAUGCAAAUUACUUAAUAAAAAGUUGGCUACCUGGAGCUCUCCAAUGUCAGGAUAUCUUCAAUCGCAACUUUCCACAAGGACCUAAUCCAAACUUCAAUCUCAGAGAUGAAUCCAUUCUCGAAGAACUCACUGAAUUUUACUUGGAAGUUUCUUAUGUUGUCAAAGUAAACCUAGAUGAAGUGUCAUAUCCAGAAACAAAUUAUUAUGUGAGAAUAAAAUGGUCCAACAAACUACAACAUAGACAAGGCCUGGAAGUUUGCUGAAGGGAAGGUCUGAAAGACUAUGGCUAUAUAUCUGUUGGGUCUCUCAGCAACGAUAGUACAUAGGGAGCAAGAGAGUUACCUGGCGCCACAAGCAGCAGCAGUCCAAAAGCUCCCAGCAGCAGUACAAGCAUUCUGCAGGUUUGGUUAGAGUGUUUCCUGGGCUUUCGGCUUUGCUUGUAUGUGUACACAUGGUAUGUAAAGGUGGGGUUGGGAAUGAGAUGAUGUAUAUAACAAGGAAAUGUCUUUUGGGGUGUAAUCUGAUGAUGCAGUCCUUGCAUUCUGAUCAGACGAUAUUGUAAGCCUGAUUUUUCUUUAGAAAUACAUAUACUACUUUUAUCAAAAAUAAAUAAAGCUUUGUAACAACAAUCCUACUAUAACUUUGACAUGUACUUUUAAGGAGUGGUGGAAUAUUAUGUUGUUUUCUUCAAACAUAAACCUAAUAACACAUCAAUUUAUUUAUUUUUUGUUAUCGUUAUCCUCUGUCUCUCAAUCCUUAGACCCAAUUUUUCUUAGAAUAUGGUAUCAAUCUUUCAAUUUUAAAUAGCAAAUCAAACAAAUAACCAUACAAAUUGUUUUAGAUUUUAGCAAAUCUCUCCGUCCUACUAACCUAAAAAAAUAUUUUGAAACUAAUUGAAUGGCUAAAACUGCGGGAGAGCGGUUUGGGAGCCGGGGGCGGUGCAGUAGCUAGACGGUAAAGUCCCACAUGAAACUGGAUUUGGGUCUACGCAUGAAACGAAGACCAUAGCUGCCGAUCAGGACCUGAUGUGUGACUGGGUCCUUGUUCUUACAGUGUAGCAUUACAUGGUUUUUUCAAUUUCAUUACGUAAAGUCAGGAUUGUGAUUAAUCUUUCACAACCUGACUCCACUAUGUAAUCUUUCCCUUCGAUAAAGUGAAAGUUAUAAAUAAGCAAACUAGUCGUAAACCAUUUUCAAUCUUGGAUUACCCAAUUUCAUUCUAAUUCCUAACACUAUGUGAUAUGAAUAACAAUAAAAAUUCUCGUUUUCUUCUUUUUUGUAAAAAUUUAGUUUUAACAGAAUCAAAUUGUAGAGAAAUCAAAGCCUUGAAUAGAUGGAAUUCAACUUAUCUAACCUUUCAACCAAGGUUGCAACCCCUAACAGCCGAGAGAAACCGAGAAAACACCCCAGCUUGUUCCAAAUAAACAGAUUCUAUUGACUAGUCAAAAUCGAAAUCCAAACUAGGGUUUAUAUAGAUAAUUGAGAGAAACAGAGACCAAGUGGCAGGAAGCAUCAAAGUAAUCGAGACAGAAGAGUAGGAAGAAGAUGAUAAAGGGUGAGAGAAAGAAUUUCAAACUCAGGGUUCAAAUCAGAUCGAGGAAGUGAGAAAGGUUGAGAUUGUGGUGAGGAGGAAGAGAGAGUCGAGGAAGUGGGUGGUUUCUCUUGUUAACGCCUUGGCUUUCCUCAUGUGAUAAGCACGUCACAAAUUUUGGUUUUUUUUUAUUAACUUCUAACAACACAAGGCCGUUAGUAUUAUUUUCUAGUAGUGUUACUAAAUAAUUCAAAAUAAUAUUAAUUUAUUACUAACAAAAAUUGGCCUUUACUAGCGGCAAAAAAAUGUUAUUACACUUCUAACAGCAAAAUGAUGUUAGAAAUCUAAA